UACGAAGGGUGCAAGCGUUAAUCGGAAUUACUGGGCGUAAAGGGUGCGUAGAUGGCCUGUUAAGUCGGAUGUGAAAGCCCCGGGCUCAACCUGGGAACGGCAUCCGAUACUGGUGGGCUGGAGUGCGGUAGAGGAGAGCGGAAUUCCCGGUGUAGCGGUGAAAUGCGUAGAGAUCGGGAGGAACAUUCGUGGCGAAGGCGGCUCUCUGGAUCGGCACUGACAUUGAGGCACGAAAGCGUGGGGAGCAAACAGG
RNAcentral lists this ribosomal RNA (253 nucleotides) under uncultured bacterium. Its description in RNAcentral is "partial 16S ribosomal RNA". It matches the Rfam family "Bacterial small subunit ribosomal RNA", at positions 524 to 776 of the family's 1533-position model. The record is from RNAcentral.